This is a long non-coding RNA of Stomoxys calcitrans (stable fly), 1777 nucleotides long. RefSeq lists it as uncharacterized. The transcript is spliced from 3 exons. Lineage: Eukaryota; Metazoa; Arthropoda; Insecta; Diptera; Muscidae. The record is from RefSeq and is a predicted model, not a curated record.
GAAAAAAUUGUACUCAGCUGUUUGCGGUACUUACUUUUACUUUAAUUGGCUAUGACAGAACAUUUGUUCCACUAGCCGAAUGUAGAAAAGCGUUUCAAGCGCCUCGAUCUUCUGCGUUCAUUCUAAAAUCUCUGACACCAAGUUUUGAGGUGUCUCACACCACUUGAUCAUUCCAUCGGACUUUUGGUCUUCCACCGUGUUUGCCUUCAAAAGACUUCUUCGCUGGAGCUUCUUCAUCCAUUCUGACAACAUGACCUAGCCAACGCAGCCGUUAUAUUUUGAUGCGUGUAACUAUGCUAUCGUCGUCAUACAACUCAUACAGCUCGUGGUUCACACGUCGGCUAUAUUCUCCAUUAACGCAAACUGGUCCAUAUAUUUUACGAAGAAUCUUUCUCUCAAAUACUCCAAGCACUGCAUCAUCUGCUUUCACAAGUACCUACAUAUGCUUCAGAACCAUAUAACAGCACGGGUAGUAUCAGUGUCUUGUAUGGUGUAAUCUUCGUCUGUCGAGAGGGGACCUUGUUUCUAAACUGCCUACUUAGUCCAAAGUAGCAUCUAUUUGCCAGUAUUAUUCUUCGCGUUAUCUCAAAACUGGUGUCAUUCGUUUCGGUUACGGCGGUGCCGUGGUAGAUAAUGUUACUGACUGUCUCAAAGUUGUAGUUCCCAACUUUCUCCAUUUUCUUUGUCUGCUCGGUUGUGCAAGGCUUUUUGGGAGUUGAAACCAUCCAUUUCGUCUAAUCUCCAUUUACUGCCCGACCCAUUUUAUCUGACUCACUUUCAAUUCUUUCAAAGGCUGCAGUUACUACUUCCGGUGACCGACCUAUGAUAUAGAUGUUCUCUUGUGAUAAGUGUGCCAUAUCUAUUCACAUCUGCAACUCGUAUAAUCUGCUCCAACAGGAUAUAUGUAGAAGAGAUCUCCUUGUCUGAAACCUCGUUUGGUAUUGAAUGGUUCGGAGAGAUUCUUUCCUAUUUUUACUGAGGAACGCGUAUAAGCAAGUGUCAUCCUGCAGUCUUAUUAAUCUUGCAGAGAUACCAAACAUAGCCAUGGCUUGAAAUACCUUUGGACGUAAUGGAGUAUCGAAAGCGGCUUGUAGUCAACAAGAGAUGGUAGGUGUUGAUUUGUCCUUCUCGGGUCUUUUCCAGGAUUUGGCGCAAUGGGAAUAUCUGGUCCAGGGUGGAUUUACCAGGUCUAAAGUCCGAUUAUCUCAUUGCCUUUAGGUUUAAUCUUUCACACAGAACGCUCGAGAGUAUCUUGUAUGCGAUGGGGAGGAGUCUUAUUACUCUGAUAAUUGUGUCAUGCGUGCACCUAUGGUGUCGUUAGUGUCAUGAACAGCUUAAAAUGUAAACAAUGAUGCGGCAAUCUUACACUAACAGAAAAAAGUCAUUAUCAUACACAGACGUUAUUGGAAAUAUAUAAACAUCUUGGACGAGGAAAACUGAAAAAACGUGUACAAUACAUGAUAGAAGUGUUAUUUCAAUGGCUCCAAGGAUCGAUCAUCAGUCAGAAGAUGUUUUGAGGCUGCAUAAUUCGGCUUAUGCAGCCCUUUAGUCCCCGCCUUUAGACUGUAUCCCGAUUAAAAUUUUACAAAGUGGGUAUAAAGCAGCGAUUCCCGAAAUGAAGGAGUGACUGUAUGUGUGAGAUACUCCCUUUAAGUAUUUUCCGUUCUCUCAAUGUGUAAAAAUUAUUUUUUUGAACUGAAUGAUUGAUGUUUCGCGGAAAUGAACACAAAAUAAGAACAUUUUUAUACUUUGUCAUUCAUACCUUCCAAGCGUUAAA